GAUGAACGCUGGCGGUAUGCUUAACACAUGCAAGUCGUACGAAGAUAAAAUUGUGCUUGCACGAUUUUAUACUUAGUGGCGGACGGGUGAGUAACACGUAAGAAUCUACCUUUUGGCGAGGGACAACCACUGGAAACGGUGGCUAAUACCUCAUAUAACUGAGAAGUGAAAGAUGAAAAUCACCAAGAGAUGAGCUUGCGUCUGAUUAGCUAGUUGGUAAGGUAAAGGCUUACCAAGGCGACGAUCAGUAGCUGGUCUGAGAGGAUGAUCAGCCACACUGGGACUGAGACACGGCCCAGACUCCUACGGGAGGCAGCAGUGGGGAAUUUUCCGCAAUGGGCGAAAGCCUGACGGAGCAACGCCGC
RNAcentral lists this ribosomal RNA (365 nucleotides) under uncultured bacterium. RNAcentral describes it as "bacterial SSU rRNA". It matches the Rfam family "Bacterial small subunit ribosomal RNA", at positions 28 to 400 of the family's 1533-position model. The record is from RNAcentral.